UACGGGGGGAGCAAGCGUUGUUCGGAUUUACUGGGCGUAAAGGGCGCGUAGGCGGUCAGCACAAGUCAGUUGUGAAAUCUCCGGGCUUAACUCGGAAAGGUCAACUGAUACUGUGCGACUAGAGUGCAGAAGGGGCAACUGGAAUUCUCGGUGUAGCGGUGAAAUGCGUAGAUAUCAAGAGGAACACCUGCGGCGAAGGCGGGUUGCUGGGCUGACACUGACGCUGAGGCGCGAAAGCCAGGGGAGCGAACGGG
This 254-nucleotide ribosomal RNA is filed under the name uncultured bacterium. RNAcentral's name for it is "partial 16S ribosomal RNA". It matches the Rfam family "Bacterial small subunit ribosomal RNA", at positions 524 to 776 of the family's 1533-position model. The record is from RNAcentral.